RNAcentral lists this ribosomal RNA (413 nucleotides) under Amanita wellsii. Its description in RNAcentral is "LSU rRNA". It matches the Rfam family "Bacterial large subunit ribosomal RNA", at positions 1719 to 2103 of the family's 2925-position model. The record is from RNAcentral. Lineage: Eukaryota; Fungi; Basidiomycota; Agaricomycetes; Agaricales; Amanitaceae.
AAAUUAUCCUCAUAAGUUAGACGAAAAGAGGUACCAUUUGUGAAUUCUAUUAAUGAGGUUUUUUUUUUCUCAAUAAAUGAUAGAUAAAUGGUGGCACAGAAUCGGAGGCCCCGACUGUUUACUAAAAACACAACACAGUGCAAUCAUUAAUAUGGUAGUAUACUGUGUGAAAUUUGCUCAAUGCCAUUAAUAUAAAAGCGGUCAUGGGAAACUGUGACUAAUUGAAAAUCUGGUUAAUAGCGGUCUUAACCAUGAGGAUCCUAAGGUAGCAAAAUAAAUUGGCCAUUAAAUGUGGUCCGGUAUCAAUAAUGUAACGAUGGCCUCACUGUCUCUACAACUUGCUCAGUGAAAUUGAAUUACGCGUGCAAAUGCGCGUUACCUCCAAAGGGACGGGAAAACCCUAUGCACUUUCU